This 379-nucleotide ribosomal RNA is filed under the name uncultured bacterium. RNAcentral describes it as "bacterial SSU rRNA". It matches the Rfam family "Bacterial small subunit ribosomal RNA", at positions 790 to 1167 of the family's 1533-position model. The record is from RNAcentral.
GUAGUCCACGCUGUAAACGAUGAGUGCUAGGUGUAGGGGAUUUCGACAUCCUCUGUGCCGCAGUAAACGCAAUAAGCACUCCGCCUGGGGAGUACGGUCGCAAGACUAAAACUCAAAGGAAUUGACGGGGGCCCGCACAAGCAGCGGAGCAUGUGGUUUAAUUCGAAGCAACGCGAAGAACCUUACCAGGACUUGACAUCCAAAGAAUCCACAAGAGAUUGAGGAGUGCCCUUCGGGGAACUUUGAGACAGGUGGUGCAUGGUUGUCGUCAGCUCGUGUCGUGAGAUGUUGGGUUAAGUCCCGCAACGAGCGCAACCCUUGUCAUUAGUUGCUAACAUUAAGUUGAGCACUCUAAUGAGACUGCCGGGGACAACUCGGA